RNAcentral lists this small RNA (10694 nucleotides) under Pongo abelii (Sumatran orangutan). RNAcentral's name for it is "retained intron". The record is from RNAcentral. Lineage: Eukaryota; Metazoa; Chordata; Mammalia; Primates; Hominidae.
UGUUCUCACGAGGGGGCAGCUUGGGCUUGACUGAGCAGGAGCUUCAUGGUCCCACAUGUAGUGUGACAUGUGACCUCUGCACAUUGUUUACAGUUCCUGAACUGUGAUUUCUUUUUCUGUGAAACAGUUGUAAUAGUAGGUGGCUACCAAGUAGAAAGUGCUCAUGGGGGCCGAAGGUUAAACACAAUAACGGACACACAGAACUUACACAGGGCCCUUUAUGCCAUGCUAUAUUGAAUAUCUGUGCCCCUCUACCUACCCGUAAAUGUCAUGAAUAUUGACAAUUCACUCUAGACCCUGCUAGAAGAAUCCAAAGAAAUUGACAGUGAUCUGGAAGCAAUGACUGAGAAAUUACAGUACCUCACUAGUGUGUACUGUACAGAAAAAAUGUCUCAGCAAGUGGCAGAACUGGGACGGGAGACUGAGGAGUUGCGACAGAUGAUCAAAAUUCGUUUGCAGAACCUCCAAGAUGCAGCUAAGGAUAUGAAAAAAUUUGAAGCAGAGUUGAAAAAGUUACAAGCUGCCUUGGAGCAAGCCCAGGCAACCCUGACUUCUCCCGAAGUUGGACGCCUCAGUCUCAAGGAGCAGCUCUCUCAUCGGCAGCAUCUGUUGUCUGAGAUGGAGUCACUGAAGCCGAAGGUGCAAGCAGUGCAGCUCUGCCAGAGUGCCCUCCGGAUCCCCGAGGAUGUGGUUGCCAGCUUACCUCUCUGUCAUGCUGCUCUGCGGCUGCAGGAAGAGGCCAGCCGGCUGCAGCACACCGCCAUCCAGCAGUGCAACAUCAUGCAGGAGGCUGUGGUGCAGUAUGAACAAUAUGAGCAAGAAAUGAAACAUCUCCAGCAACUGAUAGAAGGAGCUCACAGAGAGAUUGAGGAUAAACCUGUUGCCACCAGUAACAUACAGGAGCUGCAGGCUCAGAUUUCUCGGCAUGAGGAGCUGGCGCAGAAAAUUAAGGGCUACCAGGAGCAGAUCGCUUCUUUGAAUUCCAAGUGCAAGAUGCUGACGAUGAAAGCCAAGCACGCCACCAUGCUGCUGACGGUGACCGAGGUCGAGGGGCUGGCGGAAGGGACAGAGGACCUGGAUGGGGAGCUCCUCCCCACGCCUUCGGCCCACCCCUCUGUGGUCAUGAUGACUGCAGGUCGCUGUCACACUUUGCUGUCACCGGUCACUGAGGAGUCUGGGGAGGAGGGAACCAACAGUGAGAUUUCCUCUCCACCUGCCCGUCGCUCCCCUUCACCUGUGGCUAAUACAGAUGCUUCUGUUAACCAGGACAUUGCAUAUUACCAAGCCUUGUCUGCUGAGAGGUUGCAGACAGAUGCUGCAAAAAUUCACCCCAGCACAUCCACAUCCCAGGAGUUCUAUGAACCGGGAUUGGAGCCAUCCGCUACUGCCAAACUGGGUGAUUUGCAGCGUUCUUGGGAAACCUUAAAGAAUGUGAUCAGUGAGAAGCAGCGCACACUCUAUGAAGCUUUGGAACGCCAGCAGAAGUACCAGGACUCCCUCCAGUCCAUCUCUACGAAGAUGGAGGCCAUUGAGCUGAAACUCAGUGAGAGCCCAGAGCCUGGCAGGAGUCCAGAAAGCCAGAUGGCUGAACAUCAGGCAUUGAUGGAUGAGAUUCUCAUGCUCCAGGAUGAAAUCAAUGAGCUCCAGUCCUCUCUGGCAGAGGAGCUGGUAUCCGAGUCUUGUGAGGCCGACCCCGCGGAGCAGCUGGCCUUGCAGUCCACGCUCACUGUCUUAGCCGAGCGAAUGUCCACCAUCAGGAUGAAAGCCUCAGGGAAACGGCAGCUUUUGGAGGAGAAGUUGAAUGAUCAGCUGGAGGAACAAAGGCAGGAACAGGCCCUGCAGAGGUAUCGCUGUGAAGCCGAAGAGCUGGACAGCUGGCUCUUGAGUACCAAGGCCACUCUGGACACUGCGCUGAGUCCACCCAAGGAGCCCAUGGACAUGGAGGCCCAGCUUGUGGACUGCCAGAAUAUGCUGGUGGAAAUAGAGCAGAAGGUGGUGGCUUUAUCAGAACUGUCAGUCCACAAUGAGAACCUGCUGCUGGAGGGCAAAGCUCACACCAAGGACGAGGCCGAGCAGCUGGCUGGAAAGCUGAGAAGGCUCAAGGGGAGCCUGCUGGAGCUGCAGAGAGCGCUGCACGAUAAGCAGCUCAACAUGCAGGGAACAGCACAGGAGAAGGAGGAGAGCGAUGUUGACCUAACAGCCACGCAGAGCCCCGGCGUCCAGGAAUGGCUGGCCCAAGCUCGCACCACGUGGACCCAGCAGCGGCAGAGCAGUCUCCAGCAACAAAAAGAGUUAGAACAGGAAUUAGCUGAGCAGAAGAGUCUCCUUCGCUCAGUAGCCAGUCGUGGAGAGGAGAUUCUAAUUCAACAUUCGGCGGCAGAGACUUCUGGUGACGCUGGCGAAAAACCUGAUGUGUUAUCCCAGGAGUUGGGGAUGGAAGGGGAGAAAUCAUCCGCUGAAGACCAGAUGAGAAUGAAAUGGGAAAGCCUACAUCAAGAAUUUAGUACCAAACAGAAACUACUACAGAAUGUUCUGGAACAGGAACAAGAGCAAGUGCUUUAUAGCAGACCAAAUCGACUGUUGUCUGGUGUGCCACUGUACAAAGGGGAUGUGCCGACCCAAGAUAAAUCUGCAGUUACAUCUUUGCUGGAUGGACUGAACCAAGCCUUUGAGGAGGUUUCAUCCCAGAGUGGAGGGGCAAAGAGGCAGAGUAUACACUUGGAGCAGAAGUUGUAUGAUGGGGUCUCAGCCACCUCUACUUGGUUGGAUGACGUUGAAGAACGUUUAUUUGUUGCCACAGCACUUUUACCAGAAGAAACAGAGACUUGUCUCUUCAACCAAGAGAAUCUUGCCAAAGACAUUAAGGAAAUGUCUGAAGAAAUGGAUAAGAACAAAAACUUGUUUUCCCAAGCUUUUCCAGAGAAUGGUGAUAAUCGAGAUGUUAUUGAAGAUACUUUGGGUUGUCUUUUGGGCAGGUUAUCCUUGCUAGACUCAGUAGUGAAUCAACGAUGUCAUCAGAUGAAAGAAAGGCUUCAGCAAAUACUAAAUUUCCAGAAUGAUCUGAAAGUGCUGUUUACAUCACUGGCUGACAACAAAUACAUCAUUCUGCAGAAACUGGCAAAUGUGUUUGAACAGCCCGUAGCAGAACAAAUAGAGGCAAUACAACAGGCUGAAGAUGGACUCAAAGAAUUGGAUGCAGGAAUCAUUGAAUUAAAGAGGCGUGGUGACAAGUUACAGGUCGAGCAGCCGUCCAUGCAAGAACUCUCCAAGCUCCAGGACAUGUAUGAUGAGCUGAUGAUGACCAUUGGCUCCCGGAGGAGUGGUCUGAACCAGAACCUUACACUCAAGAGCCAGUAUGAGAGGGCCCUACAAGAUCUGGCUGACCUGCUAGAAACUGGUCAGGAGAAGAUGGCAGGAGACCAGAAAAUCAUCGUGUCUUCCAAAGAGGAAAUUCAGCAACUACUUGACAAACAUAAGGAAUACUUUCAGGGCCUGGAAUCUCAUAUGAUCUUGACUGAAACACUCUUCAGAAAGAUAAUCAGCUUUGCAGUCCAAAAGGAAACCCAGUUCCAUACAGAGCUGAUGGCUCAGGCUUCUGCUGUACUGAAACGGGCUCACAAGAGGGGUGUGGAGCUGGAGUACAUUCUAGAGACGUGGUCCCAUCUGGAUGAGGACCAGCAGGAGCUCGGCAGACAGCUGGAGGUGGUGGAAAGCAGCAUCCCAAGCGUGGGUCUGGUGGAGGAGAACGAGGACAGGCUUAUUGACCGCAUAACACUCUACCAGCAUUUAAAAUCUAGCCUUAAUGAAUACCAGCCCAAAUUAUAUCAAGUAUUAGAUGAUGGGAAACGACUUCUGAUAUCCAUCAGCUGCUCAGAUCUAGAAAGCCAACUAAAUCAAUAGGUUAAGACUUAAGAGAAACAAGAAACACUGGCAGUAUCAUGACUUUUUGUUUUUUAGUAAGUGCUGCAUUUAUAUAAGCUAGUAUAUCUAAAGUGUCUAAGGAACUUCACAGAUUGGAAACAAUAUUGAAACACUGGACCAGAUAUCAAAGUGAAUCUGCAGAUCUAAUUCAGUGGUUACAAUCUGCAAAAGACAGGCUAGAAUUUUGGACUCAGCAAUCUGUGACAGUCCCACAAGAGCUGGAAAUGGUCCGUGAUCAUCUAAAUGCUUUCCUGGAGUUUUCUAAAGAAGUGGAUGCCCAAUCUUCCCUGAAAUCAUCUGUUCUGAGUACUGGAAAUCAGCUCCUUCGACUAAAAAAGGUGGACACAGCCACGCUGCGCUCUGAGCUUUCGCACAUUGAUAGCCAGUGGACUGACCUGCUAACCAAUAUCCCAGCCAUCCAGGAGAAGCUCCACCAGCUCCAGAUGGAUAAACUGCCUUCCCGCCAUGCCAUUUCUGAAGUCAUGAGUUGGAUUUCUCUAAUGGAAAAUGUUAUUCAGAAGGAUGAAGAUAAUAUUAAAAAUUCCAUAGGUUACAAGGCAAUUCAUGAAUACCUUCAGAAAUAUAAGGGUUUUAAGAUAGACAUUAACUGUAAACAGCUGACGGUGGAUUUUGUGAACCAGUCCGUGCUACAAAUCAGCAGUCAGGAUGUGGAAAGUAAACGUAGUGAUAAGACUGAUUUUGCUGAGCAGCUUGGAGCAAUGAAUAAAAGUUGGCAAAUUCUGCAAGGUCUAGUAACUGAGAAGAUCCAGCUGUUGGAAGGCUUAUUGGAAUCUUGGUCAGAAUAUGAAAAUAAUGUACAAUGUCUGAAAACAUGGUUUGAAACCCAGGAAAAGAGACUAAAACAACAGCAUCGAAUUGGAGAUCAGGCUUCUGUUCAAAAUGCACUGAAAGACUGUCAGGAUCUGGAAGAUUUGAUUAAAGCAAAAGAAAAAGAAGUAGAGAAAAUUGAGCAGAAUGGACUUGCUUUGAUUCAGAACAAGAAAGAAGACGUCUCUGGCAUUGUCAUGAGCACACUGCGAGAGCUCGGCCAAACCUGGGCGAAUUUAGAUCACAUGGUUGGACAAUUAAAGAUACUGCUAAAAUCAGUGCUUGACCAAUGGAGUAAUCACAAAGCGGCCUUUGACAAGAUAAACAGUUACCUCAUGGAGGCCAGAUACUCUCUUUCCCGAUUCCGUCUGCUGACUGGCUCUUUAGAAGCUGUGCAAGUUCAGGUGGACAAUCUUCAGAAUCUCCAAGAUGAUCUGGAAAAACAUGAAAGGAGCUUACAGAAAUUUGGCUCUAUCACCAACCAAUUAUUAAAAGAGUGUCACCCACCUGUGACAGAAACUCUUACCAAUACUCUGAAAGAAGUCAACAUGAGAUGGAAUAACUUGCUGGAAGAGAUUGCUGAGCAGCUACACUCCAGCAAGGCCCUACUUCAGCUUUGGCAAAGAUACAAGGACUACUCCAAACAGUGUGCUUCAACAGUUCAGCAGCAGGAGGAUCGAACCAAUGAGCUGUUGAAGGCAGCUACAAACAAGGACAUCGCCGAUGAUGAGGUUGCUACAUGGAUUCAAGAUUGCAAUGACCUCCUCAAAGGACUGGGCACAGUUAAAGAUUCCCUCUUUGUUCUCCAUGAGCUGGGAGAGCAACUGAAGCAACAAGUGGAUGCUUCAGCAGCAUCAGCUAUUCAAUCGGAUCAACUCUCUUUGAGUCAACACUUGUGUGCCCUGGAGCAGGCUCUCUGCAAACAGCAGACUUCGUUACAGGCUGGAGUUCUUGAUUAUGAAACCUUUGCCAAGAGUUUAGAAGCUUUGGAGGCCUGGAUAGUGGAAGCUGAAGAAAUACUACAAGGGCAGGACCCUAGCCACUCAUCUGACCUCUCCACAAUCCAGGAAAGGAUGGAAGAACUUAAGGGACAGAUGUUAAAAUUCAGCAGCAUGGCUCCAGAUUUAGACCGUCUAAAUGAGCUUGGAUAUAGGUUACCCUUGAAUGAUAAGGAAAUCAAAAGGAUGCAGAAUCUGAACCGCCAUUGGUCUCUGAUCUCCUCUCAGACUACAGAAAGAUUCAGCAAGUUGCAGUCAUUUUUGCUACAACAUCAGACUUUCUUGGAAAAAUGUGAAACAUGGAUGGAAUUCCUAGUUCAGACAGAACAAAAGUUAGCAGUAGAGAUUUCAGGAAAUUAUCAGCACCUUUUGGAACAGCAGAGAGCGCACGAGUUGUUUCAAGCCGAGAUGUUCAGUCGUCAGCAGAUUUUGCACUCAAUCAUUAUUGAUGGGCAACGUCUUCUAGAACAAGGUCAAGUUGAUGACAGGGAUGAAUUCAACCUGAAAUUGACACUCCUCAGUAAUCAAUGGCAGGGAGUGAUUCGCAGGGCCCAGCAGAGGCGGGGGAUCAUUGACAGCCAGAUUCGCCAGUGGCAGCGCUAUAGGGAGAUGGCAGAAAAGCUUCGUAAAUGGUUGGUUGAAGUGUCCUACCUCCCCGUGAGUGGUCUCGGAAGUGUUCCUAUACCACUGCAACAAGCAAGGACCCUCUUUGAUGAAGUGCAGUUCAAAGAAAAGGUGUUCCUGCGGCAACAAGGCAGCUACAUCCUGACUGUGGAGGCUGGCAAGCAACUCCUUCUCUCGGCGGACAGUGGCGCUGAGGCUGCCUUGCAGGCAGAACUCACUGAAAUCCAAGACAAAUGGAAAUCAGCCAGCAUGCGGCUGGAAGAACAGAAGAAAAAACUAGCCUUCUUGUUGAAAGACUGGGAAAAAUGUGAGAAAGGAAUAGCAGAUUCCCUGGAGAAACUACGAACUUUCAAAAAGAAGCUUUCCCAGUCUCUCCCGGAUCACCAUGAAGAGCUCCAUGCAGAACAAAUGCGUUGCAAGGAAUUAGAAAAUGCAGUUGGGAGCUGGACAGAUGACUUGACCCAGUUGAGCCUGCUGAAGGACACCCUCUCUGCCUAUAUCAGUGCUGAUGAUAUCUCCAUUCUUAAUGAACGCAUAGAGCUUCUGCAAAGGCAGUGGGAAGAACUAUGCCACCAGCUCUCCUUAAGGCGGCAGCAAAUAGGUGAAAGAUUGAAUGAAUGGGCAGUCUUCAGUGAAAAGAACAAGGAACUCUGUGAAUGGUUGACUCAAAUGGAAAGCAAGGUUUCUCAGAAUGGAGACAUUCUCAUUGAAGAAAUGAUAGAGAAGCUCAAGAAGGAUUAUCAAGAGGAAAUUGCUAUUGCUCAAGAGAACAAGAUACAGCUCCAACAAAUGGGAGAACGACUUGCUAAAGCCAGCCAUGAAAGCAAAGCAUCUGAGAUUGAAUACAAGCUGGGAAAGGUCAACGACCGGUGGCAGCAUCUCCUGGACCUCAUUGCAGCCAGGGUGAAGAAGCUGAAGGAGACCCUGGUAGCCGUGCAGCAGCUUGAUAAGAACAUGAGCAGCCUGAGGACCUGGCUCGCUCACAUCGAGUCAGAGCUGGCCAAGCCAAUAGUCUACGAUUCCUGUAACUCGGAAGAAAUACAGAGAAAGCUUAAUGAGCAGCAGGAGCUUCAGAGAGACAUAGAGAAGCAUAGUACAGGUGUUGCAUCUGUCCUCAACCUGUGUGAAGUCCUGCUGCACGACUGUGAUGCCUGUGCCACUGAUGCCGAGUGUGACUCUAUACAGCAGGCUACGAGAAACCUGGACCGGCGGUGGAGAAACAUUUGUGCUAUGUCCAUGGAAAGGAGGCUCAAAAUCGAAGAGACGUGGAGAUUGUGGCAGAAAUUUCUGGAUGACUAUUCACGUUUUGAAGAUUGGCUGAAGUCUUCAGAAAGGACAGCUGCUUUUCCCAGCUCUUCUGGGGUGAUCUAUACAGUUGCCAAGGAAGAACUAAAGAAAUUUGAGGCUUUCCAGCGACAGGUCCACGAGUGCCUGACGCAGCUGGAACUGAUCAACAAGCAGUACCGCCGCCUGGCCAGGGAGAACCGCACUGAUUCAGCGUGUAGCCUCAAACAGAUGGUUCACGAAGGCAACCAGAGAUGGGACAACCUGCAAAAGCGCGUCACCUCCAUCUUGCGCAGACUCAAGCAUUUUAUUGGCCAGCGUGAGGAGUUUGAGACUGCGCGGGACAGCAUUCUGGUCUGGCUCACAGAGAUGGAUCUGCAGCUCACUAAUAUUGAACAUUUUUCUGAGUGUGAUGUUCAAGCUAAAAUUAAGCAACUCAAGGCCUUCCAGCAGGAAAUUUCACUGAACCACAAUAAGAUUGAGCAGAUAAUUGCCCAAGGAGAACAGCUGAUAGAAAAGAGUGAGCCCUUGGAUGCGGCGAUCAUCGAGGAGGAACUAGAUGAGCUCCGACGGUACUGCCAGGAGGUCUUUGGGCGUGUGGAAAGAUACCAUAAGAAACUGAUCCGCCUGCCUCUCCCAGACGAUGAGCACGACCUCUCAGAUAGGGAGCUGGAGCUGGAAGACUCUGCAGCUCUGUCGGACCUGCACUGGCAUGACCGCUCUGCAGACAGCCUGCUUUCUCCACAGCCUUCCUCCAACCCCUCCCUCUCGCUCGCUCAGCCCCUCCGGAGCGAGCGGUCAGGACGAGACACCCCGGCUAGUGUGGACUCCAUCCCCCUGGAGUGGGAUCACGACUAUGAUCUCAGUCGGGACCUGGAGUCUGCAAUGUCCAGAGCUCUGCCCUCUGAGGAUGAAGAGGGUCAGGACGAUAAAGAUUUCUACCUCCGGGGAGCUGUUGGCUUAUCAGGGGACCACAGUGCCCUAGAGUCACAGAUCCGACAACUGGGCAAAGCCCUGGAUGAUAGCCGCUUUCAGAUACAGCAAACUGAAAAUAUCAUUCGCAGCAAAACUCCCACGGGGCCGGAGCUAGACACCAGCUACAAAGGCUACAUGAAACUGCUGGGCGAAUGCAGUGGCAGUAUAGACUCCGUGAAGAGACUGGAGCACAAACUGAAGGAGGAAGAGGGGAGCCUUCCCGGCUUUGUUAACCUGCAUAGUACUGAAACCCAAACGGCUGGUGUGAUUGACCGAUGGGAGCUUCUCCAGGCCCAGGCAUUGAGCAAGGAGUUGAGGAUGAAGCAGAACCUCCAGAAGUGGCAGCAGUUUAACUCAGACUUGAACAGCAUCUGGGCCUGGCUGGGGGACACGGAGGAGGAGCUGGAACAGCUCCAGCGUCUGGAACUCAGCACUGACAUCCAGACCAUCGAGCUCCAGAUCAAAAAGCUCAAGGAGCUCCAGAAAGCUGUGGACCACCGCAAAGCCAUCAUCCUCUCCAUCAAUCUCUGCAGCCCCGAGUUCACCCAGGCUGACAGCAAGGAGAGCCGGGACCUGCAGGAUCGCUUGUCGCAGAUGAAUGGGCGCUGGGACCGAGUGUGCUCUCUGCUGGAGGAGUGGCGGGGCCUGCUGCAGGAUGCCCUGAUGCAGUGCCAGGAUUUCCAUGAAAUGAGCCAUGGUUUGCUUCUUAUGCUGGAGAACAUUGACAGAAGGAAAAAUGAAAUUGUCCCUAUUGAUUCUAACCUUGAUGCAGAGAUACUUCAGGACCAUCACAAACAGCUUAUGCAAAUAAGGCAUGAGCUGUUGGAAUCCCAACUCAGAGUAGCCUCUUUGCAAGACAUGUCUUGCCAACUACUGGUGAAUGCUGAAGGAACAGACUGUUUAGAAGCCAAAGAAAAAGUCCAUGUUAUUGGAAAUCGGCUCAGACUUCUCUUGAAGGAGGUCAGUCGUCAUAUCAAGGAACUGGAGAAGUUAUUAGACGUGUCAAGUAGUCAGCAGGAUUUGUCUUCCUGGUCUUCUGCUGAUGAACUGGACACCUCAGGGUCUGUGAGUCCCACAUCAGGAAGGAGCACCCCAAACAGACAGAAAACGCCACGAGGCAAGUGUAGUCUCUCACAGCCUGGACCCUCUGUCAGCAGUCCACAUAGCAGGUCCACAAAAGGUGGCUCCGAUUCCUCCCUUUCUGAGCCUGGGCCAGGUCGGUCCGGCCGCGCCUUCCUGUUCAGAGUCCUCCGAACAGCUCUUCCCCUUCAGCUUCUCCUGCUCCUCCUCAUUGGGCUCGCCUGCCUUGUACCAAUGUCAGAGGAAGACUACAGCUGUGCCCUCUCCAACAACUUUGCCCGGUCAUUCCACCCCAUGCUCAGAUACACGAAUGGCCCUCCUCCACUCUGAACUAAGCAGAUGCCAUCUGCAGAAGUGCUGGUAGCAUAAGGAGGAUCGGGUCAUAAGCAAUCCCAAACUACCAACAAGAGGACCUUGAUCUUGGUGAAAGCCCUCCGUGUGGCAGCUUGAGCCCUCCUCCAGAUCACAUGUGUGCAAAUCAUGGCUUCAGAGGUGGAAGAUAAACAGUGACAGGGGAACAAAGAGACAACAAGAAGGUUUGGAAGAAAUCUGGUUUGAGACUCUGAACCUUAGCACUAAGGAGAUGAGUAAGGACCUCCAAAGUUCCCUGAGCUCAUGAAUUCUGGGCCCUUGGCCCAUUCUAUGCAUAGCCAAGGACUUCAGUAGACCAUCUGGGCAGCUUUCCCAUGGUGCUGCUCCAACCAUCAGAUAAAUGUCCCUCCCAAGCACCAUGUCAGUGUCGUACAAUCUACCAACCAACUAGUGCUGAAGAGAUUUUAGAACCUUGUAACAUACAAUUUUUAAGAGCUUAUAUGGCAGCUUCCUUUUUACCUUGUUUUCCUUUGGGGCAUGAUGUUUUAACCUUUGCUUUAGAAGCACAAGCUGUAAAUCUAAAAGGCACUUUUUUUAGAGGUAUAAAGAAAAACUAGAUGUAAUAAAUAAGAUCAUGGAAGGCUUUAUGUGAAAAAAGUUCAAUGUUAUAGU